AUUGAACGCUGGCGGCAUGCCUUACACAUGCAAGUCGAACGGUAACGGGCCUUCGGGUGCCGACGAGUGGCGAACGGGUGAGUAAUGUAUCGGAACGUACCUUUCAGUGGGGGAUAACGUAGCGAAAGUUACGCUAAUACCGCAUAUUCUGUGCGCAGGAAAGCAGGGGAUCGCAAGACCUCGCGCGGAUGGAUGAGCCGAUGUCGGAUUAGCUAGUUGGUGGGGUAAAGGCCUACCAAGGCGACGAUCCGUAGCUGGUCUGAGAGGAUGAUCAGCCACACUGGGACUGAGACACGGCCCAGACUCCUACGGGAGGCAGCAGUGGGGAAUAUUGGACAAUGGGCGAAAGCCUGAUCCAGCAAUGCCGCGUGAGUGAUGAAGGCCUUAGGGUUGUAAAGCUCUUUUACCAGGGAUGAUAAUGACAGUACC
Molecule: ribosomal RNA, 429 nt
Filed under: uncultured bacterium
Lineage: Bacteria
Description: bacterial SSU rRNA
Rfam family: Bacterial small subunit ribosomal RNA
Source: RNAcentral